CACCACCGCCAACGCCGCCACCCACGCCACCAACUCCACCAAGCCCACUUGAACCACCGAGCCCACUAGCACCACCGAGGCCACCGACUCCACCAAUUCCUCCAAGCCCACCAGCACCACCGAGGCCAGUAAUCCCACCAAGACCUCCAACUCCACCAAACGGAAGCCCAUUAGAACCAAUGCCGGAGAAGCCACCAACACCACCGUAUGUUAGAAAGUUCUUUUGAUCAUCAAGGCCAGCAUCAGUGGGCGCACUUUUGGCAGUGUUAUGAACCACUUGAUCAUCAUGAUCACUAGGCGUAUUUCUUGCACUAGUGUGAACCGCUGCUACAGCAAGAACAAGCAUGACAUUGGCACACCACUUUGCCAUCUCUCUCAAAGAUUAUUAUUAUUUGAUUACUAUUAUGAAUUUUUCUUCUUAGUACAUGUGAACUAUUGUUGCGGGAGUCUCCUUAUAAAGGCUAAGAGGGCAUUGGGGAGGUAGUUGUGGGUAGUAAAUAGAAUUGAAUGCGGGCAACUUAGCUGGCACACUCGCUCAUAAGGUCUGCUGUUUGAAAUAUAUAUUUUCAAGGAUUUGUGCUUAGAGUAAAAUUGUUAUAGGAGUCAUCGUAAUGGUUUAAACGCCUGCUGUACGGCCAAGGCGGAUGUACGGUACAGCAGAAAUUUUGUUUUCAGAAGUACUGCAAGUUUUAAAAACAAUUAUGGACGUUUGAUAAAUUUUACUAUUAAACUGCUGAGAGUAAGUAAAUGAUUAAAAUAUAAAUAAUAUAGGAUAAAAUUUACUUAUACAUGUGAAAACACGUACACACAAUAUUUUUAAUUUUGUAUGAUGAUAAUUUUAACUAAAAAUAAAAUUUAUAAUAUAUAUUGAUUUUAUUUUUUAUCGUAAACAAUUGAUAAUUAAAUUUAUAAUAUAGUGAAACAAAUUUAAUAAUAAAUCGACCAACAAAUAUUGAUGAAUCAUAAUAAAAAUUUACUAAAAUAUUGGUUUUGUUUCCAAUUGAAUAAGAAUAAUUUUGGGUUUAGGUAAUAAUUUUAAAGAUAUUGAUGGAAUUGUAUUAAAGGAUAAAAUUGAUUUUUAAAAUCAGAAUCUAAAAGCUACUUCUUACUUACUUUUCAAAAUCAUCUGUAGUAGAGGCUGAUUUUGACAAAAGUGAUUUUGAUUUUUUUUUUUUACCAAACACUAAAAUUAACUUUUAGAUUUUUAAAAUUAGUUUUAAAUCUCCUAAAAGCAAUCCCAAAUAGAGCCUAACUCUAUUAUAAAUUCUUAAUUAAUAGCUCAUCUAAUAUUUGGUGUUAAAACAUGGACAAAAUAUCACAAAUUGGUAGGUAAAUUUGGACAUUUCAUUUCCACGACAUAUAGUCAAGUUUAAGGCUGUGGCCCGACAAAUUAAUGACCUUACUUUGCUUAGUGUAACGUAAUGCAUGAGCUUCGAUAACUUCAUAUGUAAACUUUAGUUGCUUUCGUUAAAGUUCUAUAACAUCAGUCAUCUCCAUUUAAAAGACAGAAGAAGAAGAAGAUAAAACACGCGAUUUAAUUAUUUACGUCGAAUAUCUCUGAAGUAGAGAAUUACAUUACAAUAACAUACCAAAAGCUCUCAAAACUAAAACUCAAAAGCAAACAGUAACUGAAACCAAAGUAAACGAACUAUCACACGAACAUGGCAUUAAAACUAAACUUUCUUAAUAACGCGCACGGGAAUAACGUGCACGGGAAACCCUCAAACAGGAAAAACCUUGAUUAAUUAAAAGCAAGUAAAGAAGCCCUAAUGUCUUCUAAGGCUCCAACUAUUUCAAGGGAAAGGAAGCACUCCAGUGCCAAUGCCAACUCCACCGGCAGAACCACCACCAACGCCGCCACCAGCACCACCUCCAACGCCGCCGCCACCGCCAACGCCGCCACCCACGCCACCAACUCCACCAAGCCCACUUGAACCACCGAGCCCACUAGCACCACCGAGGCCACCGACUCCACCAAUUCCUCCAAGCCCACCAGCACCACCGAGGCCAGUAAUCCCACCAAGACCUCCAACUCCACCAAACGGAAGCCCAUUAGAACCAAUGCCGGAGAAGCCACCAACACCACCGUAUGUUAGAAAGUUCUUUUGAUCAUCAAGGCCAGCAUCAGUGGGCGCACUUUUGGCAGUGUUAUGAACCACUUGAUCAUCAUGAUCACUAGGCGUAUUUCUUGCACUAGUGUGAACCGCUGCUACAGCAAGAACAAGCAUGACAUUGGCACACCACUUUGCCAUCUCUCUCAAAGAUUAUUAUUAUUUGAUUACUAUUAUGAAUUUUUCUUCUUAGUACAUGUGAACUAUUGUUGCGGGAGUCUCCUUAUAAAGGCUAAGAGGGCAUUGGGGAGGUAGUUGUGGGUAGUAAAUAGAAUUGAAUGCGGGCAACUUAGCUGGCACACUCGCUCAUAAGGUCUGCUGUUUGAAAUAUAUAUUUUCAAGGAUUUGUGCUUAGAGUAAAAUUGUUAUAGGAGUCAUCGUAAUGGUUUAAACGCUUGGGGUACCAGCUGAAAGAAAGUUACUGCGAUGGCCAGAGUGGCAAAUGCAGAAAUAAACAUGCAUGCCAGAUAUGGUGGUGACAAAUGAAAUGCUGAUUAGGGAUGUGGCGUUCGGGCAUGUGAUAUGCAGAGAAACAUUUGCCCAACCAAUCAAGUAAUUACAUUUGGUUGGAAGAAAAGGGCCGAUGUGAAGUGAUUGACUCAAUUCUGGGCAUUAUUAAUUUCCUGGACCAUUUCCAAUGACAUGAAAAAUUUUAAACUGUGUGUGACAAGGAACCUUACCUUUUGAGUUUUGAGAGGAAAUGCAAAUCCUAAUUAAGCUGUGAAAAAGUAAAAUUAAAUGUUCUUGCGUUGCGGAGAAUUAAGUAAAAAGUCAUCGAGCCUUUUCACUGAGCUGUAGUCCAUAACUCAUAAUACGUAGUAGCACGUGGUCAAUUCUAAACAUCAAUUUUUUUUUAUUAAAAAAAACUCUAAACAUUGAAUUAAUUUGCAAGAAAUAUUUCUUUUUUUUUUUUCAUCUUGGUAUUAGACUUCUAUAUCAAACAUUUUCUACUGUCAUUAUACUUUUUAUUCUACUAAUUAAUUUGCUUAUCUAAUCUAAAAGAAAAAAAAUUCUUAUCUCAACUAAAUUUGCGUGUUUUGGUUACUUUACUCACUCACUUUGUCAAUCUAGUUUUCUCUAACUAAAGACUUUUAGUUAACAUGUACUGACACAUUAAUUUAAUGGUAAAAUCUGUCCAAUCCUUUGGGACCAUCGUAAUUCAAGAGUUUGGAAAAAGUUAAACACUAUUUGCACACAAAAUUAUAAAUAAAAAUGAAUUAAUAAAUUUGUACAAUUUUAUAUGCAAGUAGCAUUACUCAUGGCAAAAUUUGAAGCAGUUAAUGGUUUUAUAUAGGGUAAGUUGAUUAUUAAAGAAUUAGAUUGUUUUGUUAAAUCUGAUUGGUGGUUAUUAAAUAUAAAGUUUCCAUUCAAUAUUUUAAUUUACUGUUGAGUUGCAUUAAAUAUUGGUUGGUCAAUGGAAGUCAGCUGCUAAAUUCAAUGUCGACCUACAUUCAAUCUCUACCUAACAAGUUUAAUUUGGGAUCGGAUACCUGCACAUUCUAAGUCCACCCCAAAUAUUACACUCCACCAUUCCCAACUCUUUACACCUAAAUUGAGAAAAUCGUUUGGAGAAAAUAUUGGUCAACACUAAUUGAAUCGUUGACUUAAACUAUAGGAAAUAAUAGAACAUUUACAACUGAGAAAAGUUUAGUAACACGACACAUAAAUUCUCCACCAGUUUUAUUUUUUCCUCUAUGUAUAGUAGUGUCUUUCAGCUAUAGGAUCAUUUUUCUAAUAUAUAAAUUAUCAUUAAAAUACAUGCUUAUUGAUAACGUAUUAUCAGUUUUGAUAUUCAGUUAUUGAUUCACCGAUCAUCCAAUUGAAGAAACGUGUUUUCAUUUCUUGAAUAAAACAUUAUACACUGAGAGUUAUUUAUAGAUGCAGAUGCUACAUUUUUUCAAAGAUUACAUAUGUAAAUACGGAAGGAAAUAGGUCUGUGUUGUGCGCGAGAGCUGGGCUGACGCUGGUGCUGCGUUGCGUUGCGCGCGCGGGACUGAUGUACUGCGCGAGGGUGAUUGCUGGAUUGAUUUGCGCUGUGCGCGCGAGCUGGAGCUGAGGAUCUGCGUUGCUAGGCGUUACUGCUGCUGCUUCGCGGGAUGUGUUGCGUGCACGGUUGCUGCUGAUUUCGCACAAUGGUGAUGGCUGGGGCUUGCUGCGUUGCACGCGGCUGCUUUCGCUGGUGGGACUUCGUUGCGCGCUGCUGGGCUGCGAGACACGGGAUGCUGGUGUUGCGCUCACGAGAUGGUGCGUUUUCCGGCGGGCUGGUUUGCUGCUGGUGUGCUGCAAGCGGCUGGAGAAGAAAACAAGUUCUGGAAAAUUAGGGAUUUUGUGAACAGUGAAUAGUGAACAGUGAUUUUCGAUUUUUGGUUUUUUUUUAAAUAAAUAAACAUAAUCAUUAAAGAACAUAUAUGGGAAUUAAAUAAAUAAAUAAAAUAAUUAUUUCAUUGAAUAGGGUUUCAUCUUUAACCUCAGUAUAAGAAAAUUAGCUGGACAUACUUAAAUUGGGAGCAACAAAAAAAAUAAAAUCAGCCAUGGGAAGCCGAAAUAUUGCUGCUGCAACUGGUCUCUUCCAACCUGACAUACUUGAAUUGGGAGCAACAAAAGAAAUAAAAUCAGCCAUGGGAAGCUUCCUUUUCCAAUUAUGAAACAAAGCUUCCAUAAUAACGCCAGCCAUUAAUUCCACUUUUGAAAGUCAAGUGUGGGCCCCAUUUAAAUUGCUUUCCCCUUUUGCAAUGCUAUGGACGUGCAACUCAAUUGGAGAAUUGAAAUUCUUUUUCAAUGCAAAUUGCUCUUAGCUCUUAACUCUAUCACAGCUUCAACUAAUAUUUCUCUAAAUUAUUAUUUUUUUUGCACUUUUUAUUUCCAAUCUCCAAUUAAUUUCCUAUUCAAUAAAACAAUUCAAUUAAUUAAAAAUAACAAAUAAAAUUAACUAGCAAAUAUACAAUAAAGGGUAAAAUAUGUAUAUAAAUUAUGCUCAUCACAUUGCUUAAUAUUUAUUAUUAUGGUUGGUUGAAUUAUAUACAUGGCAAUUAAUGAAUGAAAAUACAGGUGCUCCUGAAUCCCAAAACAUUUCCACGACAUAUAGUCAAGUUUAAGGCUGUGGCCCGACAAAUUAAUGACCUUACUUUGCUUAGUGUAACAUAAUGCAUGAGCUUCGAUAACUUCAUAUGUAAACUUUAGUUGCUUUAGCUAAGGUUCUAUAACAUCAGUCAUCUCCAUUUAAAAGACAGAAGAAGAAGAUAAAACACGCGAUUAAAUUAUUUACGUCGAAUAUCUCUGAAGUAGAGAAUUACAUUACGAUAACAUACCAGAAGCUCUCAAAGCUAAAAAUCAAAAGCAAACAGUAACUGAAGCCGAAGUAAACGAACUAUCACACGAACAUGACAUUAAACUAAACUUUCUUAAUAACGUGCACGGGAAACCCUCAAACAGGAAAAACCUUGAUUAAUUAAAAGCAAGUAAAGAAGCCCUAAUGUCUUCUAAGGCUCCAACUAUUUCAAUGGAAAGGAAGCACUCCGGUGCCAGUGCCAACUCCACCGGCAGAACCACCACCAACGCCGCCACCAGCACCACCGCCAACGCCGCCACCCACGCCACCAACUCCACCAAGCCCACUUGAACCACCGAGACCACCGACUCCACCAAUUCCUCCAAGCCCACCAGCACCACCGAGGCCAGUAACGCCAGCAAGACCUCCAACUCCACCAAGCGGAAGCCCAUUAGAACCAAUGCCGGAGAAGCCACUGACACCACCGUAUGUUAGAAAGUUCUUUUGAUCAUCAAGGCCAGCACCAGAGGGUGCAUUUUUGGCAGCGUUAUGAACCACUUGAUCAUCAUGAUCACUAGGCGUGUUUCUUGCACUAGUGUGAACCGCUACUACAGCAAGAACAAGCAUGACAGUGACACACCACUUUGCCAUCUCUCUAUAAGAUU
Molecule: long non-coding RNA, 6044 nt
Filed under: Citrus sinensis (sweet orange)
Lineage: Eukaryota; Viridiplantae; Streptophyta; Magnoliopsida; Sapindales; Rutaceae
Description: long non-coding RNA (CSIN_LNC002422)
Source: RNAcentral